GACGAACCGUGCGAACGUUGUUCGGAAUCACUGGGCUUAAAGGGUGCGUAGGCGGGUUGCCAAGUUUGGGGUGAAAUCCUCCGGCUUAACCGGAGAACUGCCUCAAAUACUGGCGAUCUCGAGGAAGGUAGGGGCAUGCGGAACUAUGCGUGGAGCGGUGAAAUGCGUUGAUAUGCAUAGGAACUCCGGUGGCGAAAGCGGCGUGCUGGACCUUUUCUGACGCUGAGGCACGAAAGCCAGGGGAGCGAACGGG
RNAcentral lists this ribosomal RNA (253 nucleotides) under uncultured bacterium. Its description in RNAcentral is "partial 16S ribosomal RNA". It matches the Rfam family "Bacterial small subunit ribosomal RNA", at positions 524 to 776 of the family's 1533-position model. The record is from RNAcentral.